This 78-nucleotide transfer RNA is filed under the name Deltaproteobacteria bacterium. RNAcentral describes it as "tRNA-Pro". It matches the Rfam family "tRNA". Rfam says of the family: Transfer RNA (tRNA) molecules are approximately 80 nucleotides in length. The record is from RNAcentral. Lineage: Bacteria; Pseudomonadati; Myxococcota; Myxococcia. RNAcentral also lists the same sequence under 1 other name.
CGGGACGUGGCGCAGUCUGGGUAGCGCACCUGAAUGGGGUUCAGGGGGUCGGAGGUUCAAAUCCUCUCGUCCCGACCA